AAGCUCGUAGUUGAAUUUCGGGCCUGGCUGGACGGUCCGCCCUUCGGGUGUGUACUGUCUGUGGUCGGGUCCUACCUUCUGGCGAAGCGUCAUGGCCUUAACCGGCCGUGGCGGGGAACCAGGACUUUUACUGUGAAAAAAUUAGAGUGUUCAAAGCAGGCAAUCGCUUGGAUACAUUAGCAUGGAAUAAUGGAAUAGGACAAUGGUUCUAUUUGUUGGUCUCUAGGACCGUUGUAAUGAUUAAUAGGGAUAGUUGGGGGCAUUAGUAUUCAAUUGUCAGAGGUGAAAUUCUUGGAUUUAUUGAAGACUAACUACUGCGAAAGCAUUUGCCAAGGAUGUUUUCAUUAAUCAAGAACGAAAGUUAGGGGAUCGAAGACGAUCAGAUACCGUCGUAGUCUUAACCAUAAACUAUGCCGACUAGGGAUCGGAUGAUGUUAAUUUUUUAAUGACUCAUUCGGCGCCUUACGGGAAACCAAAGUGUUUGGGUUCCGGGGGGAGUAUGGUCGCAAGGCUGAAACUUAAAGGAAUUGACGGAAGGGCACCACCAGGGGUGGAGCCUGCGGCUUAAUUUGACUCAACACGGGGAAACUCACCAGGUCCAGACAUAGUAAGGAUUGACAGAUUGAGAGCUCUUUCUUGAUUCUAUGGGUG
RNAcentral lists this ribosomal RNA (651 nucleotides) under uncultured Paraglomus. RNAcentral's name for it is "SSU rRNA". It matches the Rfam family "Eukaryotic small subunit ribosomal RNA", at positions 624 to 1276 of the family's 1831-position model. Lineage: Eukaryota; Fungi; Glomeromycota; Glomeromycetes; Paraglomerales; Paraglomeraceae. The record is from RNAcentral.